This 400-nucleotide ribosomal RNA is filed under the name uncultured archaeon. RNAcentral's name for it is "bacterial SSU rRNA". It matches the Rfam family "Archaeal small subunit ribosomal RNA", at positions 279 to 681 of the family's 1478-position model. The record is from RNAcentral.
AGAGCGGGAGCCCGGAGAUGGGCACUGAGACAAGGGCCCAGGCCCUACGGGGCGCAGCAGUUGCGAAAACUCCACAAUGCACGAAAGUGCGAUGGGGCUACCCCGAGUGCCGUCCGCUGAGGACGGCUUUUCCACGGUGUAAGGAGCCGUGGGAAUAAGGAGAGGGCAAGCCUGGUGUCAGCCGCCGCGGUAAUACCAGCUCUCCGAGUGGUGAGGACGAUUAUUGGGCUUAAAGCGUUCGUAGCCGGCUUAACAAGUCUUCCGUUAAAUCCAACGAUCUAAUCGUUGGGCCGCGGAAGAUACUGUUGGGCUAGGAGGCGGGAGAAGCCGACGGUAUUCUCGGGGUAGGGGUGAAAUCCUGUAAUCCCGGGAGGACCACCAGUGGCGAAGGCGGUCGGCU